This 549-nucleotide ribosomal RNA is filed under the name uncultured Glomeromycotina. Its description in RNAcentral is "SSU rRNA". It matches the Rfam family "Eukaryotic small subunit ribosomal RNA", at positions 548 to 1098 of the family's 1831-position model. The record is from RNAcentral. Lineage: Eukaryota; Fungi; Glomeromycota.
UUGGAGGGCAAGUCUGGUGCCAGCAGCCGCGGUAAUUCCAGCUCCAAUAGCGUAUAUUAAAGUUGUUGCAGUUAAAAAGCUCGUAGUUGAAUUUCGGGAUCAAUACGUCGGUCGUGCCUUCGGUACGCACUGGCGUCGUUGAUUUCUCCCUUCUGAUGAACCAUGAUGUCAUUAAUUUGGUGUUGUGGGGAGUCAGGACUGUUACUUUGAAAAAAUUAGAGUGUUUAAAGCAGGCAAACGCUUGAAUACAUUAGCAUGGAAUAAUGAAGUAGGACGUUCGAACCUAUUUUGUUGGUUUCUAGGUACAACGUAAUGAUUAAUAGGGAUAGUUGGGGGCAUUAGUAUUCAAUUGUCAGAGGUGAAAUUCUUGGAUUUAUUGAAGACUAACUACUGCGAAAGCAUUUGCCAAGGAUGUUUUCAUUAAUCAAGAACGAAAGUUAGGGGAUCGAAGACGAUCAGAUACCGUCGUAGUCUUAACCAUAAACUAUGCCGACUAGGGAUCGGAUGAAGUUAAUUUUUUAAUGACUCAUUCGGCGCCUUACGGGAAAC